UAUAGUUUAGUUUAAUAUGAACAUAAGUUUUUGAUACUUAAAGUAAUGGUUUACCCUUAACUAUAA
RNAcentral lists this transfer RNA (66 nucleotides) under Clymenella torquata (bamboo worm). RNAcentral's name for it is "tRNA-Gln". It matches the Rfam family "tRNA". From Rfam's summary of the family: Transfer RNA (tRNA) molecules are approximately 80 nucleotides in length. The record is from RNAcentral. Lineage: Eukaryota; Metazoa; Annelida; Polychaeta; Maldanidae.